ACGAAAUUUCUAAAAUCUUCAUGAAGAACGUGACAUCAUUUUGGAUGGCCUAAGGGGAAUUACCCAUUGAGAUGUGGACGGAACCUUGAGUAAAUCCUCUGGAAACAAACAGGUGAACUGGAGCACCAACACCAGCCAGACACAGACAGGUGCAUUUGAAAGUCACAGAUGACACAUUAAAAGGAUAUUAUACA
Non-coding RNA from Danio rerio (zebrafish), 194 nucleotides. NCBI's taxonomy places the organism in Eukaryota, Metazoa, Chordata, Actinopteri, Cypriniformes, Danionidae. The record is from RefSeq and is a predicted model, not a curated record.